Molecule: ribosomal RNA, 433 nt
Filed under: uncultured bacterium
Lineage: Bacteria
Description: partial 16S ribosomal RNA
Rfam family: Bacterial small subunit ribosomal RNA
Source: RNAcentral
AACGAACGCUGGCGGCAUGCCUAACACAUGCAAGUCGAACGAGACCUUCGGGUCUAGUGGCGCACGGGUGCGUAACGCGUGGGAACCUGCCCUUAGGUUCGGAAUAACUCCCCGAAAGGGGUGCUAAUACCGGAUAAUGUCUUCGGACCAAAGAUUUAUCGCCUUUGGAUGGGCCCGCGUUGGAUUAGCUAGUUGGUAGGGUAAAAGCAUACCAAGGCGACGAUCCAUAGCUAGUCUGAGAGGAUGAUCAGCCACACUGGGACUGAGACACGGCCCAGACUCCUACGCGACGCAGCAGUCGAGAAUCUUGGACUCCCGGCGAAAGCCUGAUCCAGCCCUGCCGCGUGAGUGAUGAAGGCCUUAGGGUUGUAAAGCUCUUUUACCCAGGAUCCUAAUGACCUCUCCGGGAGAAUAGUGUCCGGCUACCCCCGUG